Molecule: long non-coding RNA, 304 nt
Organism: Xiphophorus couchianus (Monterrey platyfish)
Lineage: Eukaryota; Metazoa; Chordata; Actinopteri; Cyprinodontiformes; Poeciliidae
Exons: 3
Source: RefSeq, a predicted model, not a curated record
AACAACAUAUUUUUUCUAGUGUUGCUCUGAGAACUAGCUCCUGUAAUGGGCUCAGCAGAUGCUCAGUUCCACCAGGUGUUUGCUAAUUGGUGCCGACUAGUCUGAAGGAGCUGAGUGGGGGAUGGCUGCUCUGUGUGGCAGAAGCUUGGAAACUGCAACUCCAAUCAGGAACUGCUUAGUCAAAGGCAGAGCUGGGUGCAACCAGGCGUUUUGUAUACAUGAAUGGUUGCCAUGGAGAUUAAAGGAUUUUUCAAACUUGCUAGGAAGAAUCAAGUUGACACUCCAGGAAUGUUUAUUGAUGAGG